GUCCCACAUUCAGUGCUGUACAAUGGUCAAAUUACCGGAAUCAUCUUAGUGGUCUCCCCACAUGCCAAACACCUCGUGAGAACGAUGAAAAAAUCGUUCAUUCACGAAACAUUUGAUUUGAGCGCAAAAAUUUGCUUCCGUGCGAUCGACGACAGCCAAAAGAACGAUGAAACCUUGGAACAAAGUCCGACUUUACAAAACAAAGUGCUUCUCGAU
RNAcentral lists this ribosomal RNA (216 nucleotides) under Vaucheria litorea. Its description in RNAcentral is "partial Eukaryotic large subunit ribosomal RNA". The record is from RNAcentral. Lineage: Eukaryota; Xanthophyceae; Vaucheriales; Vaucheriaceae.